This 301-nucleotide unclassified non-coding RNA is filed under the name plant metagenome. RNAcentral's name for it is "partial contains 5.8S ribosomal RNA, internal transcribed spacer 2, and large subunit ribosomal RNA". The stretch from base 1 to 101 matches the Rfam family "5.8S ribosomal RNA", at positions 52 to 154 of the family's 154-position model. The record is from RNAcentral.
AAUGCGAUAAGUAGUGAAUUGCAGAAUUCAGUGAAUCAUCGAAUCUUUGAACGCACAUUGCGCCCUUUGGUAUUCCUUAGGGCAUGCCUGUUCGAGCGUCAUCUAAACCUUCAAGCCCUGCUUGGUGUUGGGUGCCUGUCCCGCCUCCGCGCGCGGACUCACCUCAAAUCCAUUGGCGGCCCCCGCGUCGGCCACGAGCGCAGCAGAAACGCGAACUCGUGAGCCCGUCCGGGCGGCUCCCAGAAGCUACACCCACCCAGUUUGACCUCGGAUCAGGUAGGGAUACCCGCUGAACUUAAGC